Peromyscus maniculatus bairdii (prairie deer mouse) is the source of this 616-nucleotide non-coding RNA. The record is from RefSeq and is a predicted model, not a curated record. NCBI's taxonomy places the organism in Eukaryota, Metazoa, Chordata, Mammalia, Rodentia, Cricetidae.
CAGGAAAGCUAUACGACAAACUCUCAGAAAUAUGGUUAACCAUACCUAAGCAAGAUGUGGAAGAUGAUAAUACCAGUAGACAAGACAAAAGAAAACUCAGAAGAAGUUAUCUUUGAAUCUCAAUUUAAAUGAUUGUCUCUGUCAUGGGAAUAGAGUUCUCGGAAAGCUGACAUCAGAGGAAUACAAGGAACAGCUUUGUCAAAUGAUGUCUGAAUAUUGCAUCUGGACUUUGACUAAUAUUUGGCCUGCUCAGUGACAUUCAGAACUGACAUUUCAUACAAGGCCAAGCUCCAGGAGUCCAGUGAAAAGGAGGAAAGAAGGAUUCCAUGAGCAAGGGGCAUCAAGAUCAUGAUAGGGAAACCAACGGAGAAAACCGAACCAAAAGGGAACUCAUCAACUUUAGAUCAACAGCUUUGGAGCCUCCAUGGGACCGGACUAGGUCCUCUGAAUAAGCAAGACAUGUGUGUGGCUUGGUCUGCUUAUGGGCCCUCCUGGCAGUAGGAUCAGGAUCUGUUCCUGGUGCAUGAGCUGGCUUUUUGGAGCCUAUUACCUUUAGUGGGACAACUUGCACAUCCUUGAUGCAGGGAGAGGGACUUGGACCAGCCUCAAAUGAAUG